UUUUAAGUUUUUGACUGCUCAGAUUGAACGCUGGCGGCAGGCCUAACACAUGCAAGUCGAGCGGUAGAGAGAAGCUUGCUUCUCUUGAGAGCGGCGGACGGGUGAGUAAUGCCUAGGAAUCUGCCUGGUAGUGGGGGAUAACGUUCGGAAACGGACGCUAAUACCGCAUACGUCCUACGGGAGAAAGCAGGGGACCUUCGGGCCUUGCGCUAUCAGAUGAGCCUAGGUCGGAUUAGCUAGUUGGUGAGGUAAUGGCUCACCAAGGCGACGAUCCGUAACUGGUCUGAGAGGAUGAUCAGUCACACUGGAACUGAGACACGGUCCAGACUCCUACGGGAGGCAGCAGUGGGGAAUAUUGGACAAUGGGCGAAAGCCUGAUCCAGCCAUGCCGCGUGUGUGAAGAAGGUCUUCGGAUUGUAAACACUUUAAGUUGGGAGGAAGGGUUGUAGAUUAAUACUCUGCAAUUUGACGUCCACAAC
This 479-nucleotide ribosomal RNA is filed under the name Pseudomonas sp. BR-Subra-57. Its description in RNAcentral is "bacterial SSU rRNA". It matches the Rfam family "Bacterial small subunit ribosomal RNA", at positions 1 to 482 of the family's 1533-position model. Lineage: Bacteria; Pseudomonadati; Pseudomonadota; Gammaproteobacteria; Pseudomonadales; Pseudomonadaceae. The record is from RNAcentral.